UAAUUUAACAUUCAUCCAUUUCCUGUUCAGUUUACGGGAAAUCGUUCGAAGCGACGUUCAUCGCUUGUCCCAUAGUUUACGCAGCCUAUCCAGCGUAAGAUGAAGUUCAUGAAUUUGUGGUCGUUGUUGGCAAUGAUUUUCUUACUUUUGGGCUUCGCCAGCGCGGGAACGAUAUCUCCUUUUGAGGAUGGAAAUCGAGAUAAACAGGGACAUAUAAUCGAACUACCGGUUAGAUGCCCUGAUGGAAACUAUAAAAUAGUUAAUGGUCGUUGCAGAGAAAUAGUCUGAAGAAACAGAGAUAUGUUUAAUACGAAUCUAUAAUAUUCCGUGGGACAAUAAAGAACUCGGUGUGUUAUACUACCUUUUACACCGACAUACGCAAAUAUAAGCUUGUGCUAUAUGUCCUGUUAUUAAAAUGCCAAUGCUGUUUCUGCACCUGGUUAAAAUUUACCGGCAAAAAUUAUUCUAUACUUCGCAGUUUUUAAACAUUAUUCCCGAAGAAUUUUCUCGAUUACAAUGCUUUGUUUUUCAUUAUUUUUUUUUUUAAUUUAACACUCGCACACCUCUCGAAGCAUCGACGUUUCGACAUUUUUGUAAGAGAGAACAAUCGACGCCAAAUUGGCUGCGCGCAAAAAGGGCAGGUUCGAUAGAUACGAAACAGCUCGUGUAACUCCGGAUAUAUACAAUAUAAAUAUAAAAUAUAUAUAACACAGAUAAAA
Molecule: long non-coding RNA, 719 nt
Organism: Dinoponera quadriceps
Lineage: Eukaryota; Metazoa; Arthropoda; Insecta; Hymenoptera; Formicidae
Exons: 2
Source: RefSeq, a predicted model, not a curated record